Molecule: transfer RNA, 77 nt
Filed under: Enterobacter cloacae
Lineage: Bacteria; Pseudomonadati; Pseudomonadota; Gammaproteobacteria; Enterobacterales; Enterobacteriaceae
Also listed under: 11 other names
Description: tRNA-Arg
Rfam family: tRNA
About the family: Transfer RNA (tRNA) molecules are approximately 80 nucleotides in length. Their secondary structure includes four short double-helical elements and three loops (D, anti-codon, and T loops).
Source: RNAcentral
GCAUCCGUAGCUCAGCUGGAUAGAGUACUCGGCUACGAACCGAGCGGUCGGAGGUUCGAAUCCUCCCGGAUGUACCA